GACGAACGCUGGCGGCGUGCCUAAUACAUGCAAGUUGAGCGCUGAAGGUUGGUACUUGUACCAACUGGAUGAGCAGCGAACGGGUGAGUAACGCGUGGGGAAUCUGCCUUUGAGCGGGGGACAACAUUUGGAAACGAAUGCUAAUACCGCAUAAAAACUUUAAACACAAGUUUUAAGUUUGAAAGAUGCAAUUGCAUCACUCAAAGAUGAUCCCGCGUUGUAUUAGCUAGUUGGUGAGGUAAAGGCUCACCAAGGCGAUGAUACAUAGCCGACCUGAGAGGGUGAUCGGCCACAUUGGGACUGAGACACGGCCCAAACUCCUACGGGAGGCACCAGUAGGGAAUCUUCGGCAAUGGACGAAAGUCUGACCGAGCAACGCCGCGUGAGUGAAGAAGGUUUUCGGAUCGUAAAACUCUGUUGGUAGAGAAGAACGUUGGUGAGAGUGGAAAGCUCAUCAAGUGACGGUAACUACCCAGAAAGGGACGGCUAACUACGUG
Molecule: ribosomal RNA, 497 nt
Filed under: uncultured bacterium
Lineage: Bacteria
Description: partial 16S ribosomal RNA
Rfam family: Bacterial small subunit ribosomal RNA
Source: RNAcentral